UACGUAGGGGGCGAGCGUUAUCCGGAUUCACUGGGUGUAAAGGGAGCGUAGACGGCCAUGCAAGCCAGGGGUGAAAGCCCGGGGCCCAACCCCGGGACUGCCCUUGGAACUGCAUGGCUGGAGUGCGGGAGGGGCAGGCGGAAUUCCUGGUGUAGCGGUGAAAUGCUUAGAUAUUAGGAGGAACACCAGUGGCGAAGGCGGCUUACUGGACGGCAACUGACGCUGAGGCUCGAAAGCGUGGGGAGCAAACAGG
RNAcentral lists this ribosomal RNA (253 nucleotides) under uncultured bacterium. Its description in RNAcentral is "partial 16S ribosomal RNA". It matches the Rfam family "Bacterial small subunit ribosomal RNA", at positions 524 to 776 of the family's 1533-position model. The record is from RNAcentral.